This 470-nucleotide ribosomal RNA is filed under the name uncultured bacterium. RNAcentral describes it as "bacterial SSU rRNA". It matches the Rfam family "Bacterial small subunit ribosomal RNA", at positions 328 to 797 of the family's 1533-position model. The record is from RNAcentral.
CCUGGAGACUCCUACGGGAGGCAGCAGUGGGGAAUAUUGCACAAUGGGCGAAAGCCUGAUGCAGCGACGCCGCGUGAGGGAUGACGGCCUUCGGGUUGUAAACCUCUUUCGCUCAUGGUCAAGCCGCAACACUUGGUUGUGGUGAGGGUAGUGGGUAAAGAAGCGCCGGCUAACUACGUGCCAGCAGCCGCGGUAAUACGUAGGGCGCGAGCGUUGUCCGGAAUUAUUGGGCGUAAAGGGCUUGUAGGCGGUUGGUCGCGUCUGCCGUGAAAUCCUCUGGCUUAACUGGGGGCGUGCGGUGGGUACGGGCUGACUUGAGUGCGGUAGGGGAGACUGGAACUCCUGGUGUAGCGGUGGAAUGCGCAGAUAUCAGGAAGAACACCGGUGGCGAAGGCGGGUCUCUGGGCCGUUACUGACGCUGAGGAGCGAAAGCGUGGGGAGCGAACAGGAUUAGAUACCCUUGUAGUCCU